Long non-coding RNA from Apodemus sylvaticus (European woodmouse), 4189 nucleotides. RefSeq lists it as uncharacterized. The transcript has 5 exons. The record is from RefSeq and is a predicted model, not a curated record. NCBI's taxonomy places the organism in Eukaryota, Metazoa, Chordata, Mammalia, Rodentia, Muridae.
GGACUCCCCCAGUUCUGUUAAGAGCUGGGCACAAAGAGCCCUUUGCACUCCAGCCGCAGGAGCGAGGAACCGAGUUGGAGGCCCGUCUCUUCUCAUCACAUGGACAUGGCUGACCUGUCUCAGUGGUACCUGUGGGUGAAGCAGGGAUCUGGGUGGUGGAGGCCAACGGCUUUACCGAGUUGCCUCUGUCACAACACAGGGACCAAGUCUCCUGAACCUCAAGAGCUCCUGCUGGUUCCCAGGUGGAGGAGGAGUGGAGGGAUUUGGGAAAGGUCAUGGCCACCCUGCAAAGCAGCCUGGCAGAUAAGUAGCCCUUCACCAGCCCGCCCGCCCGCCCGCCCACUCUCUGCUGGUACACUUGAGAAAGGGUCAGCUCCGGAAGCCCCAAAGGGAGGGAGGGUGGAUGGAUGUCCUGUGGCUCUUGAAGAUACCAUUUGUAAGCUUGAACAGGCUCCUGGGUCUUGCAGACUCAUGGGGACCUCCUCAGGGUUCCCCGAGGGGCCAUUCCUCCACUCAGCUCCAGGAUCCCGUGGCAGGAGGCUCUAAGUGCAGCCGCGAGACGCCUCACCUUUCUUGGCUCGGGGUUUAGAGAACAGAUGUAGCAUGACUGUCAGGAAAGAGCGAAUCUGAGUCUUGAGGUGGGAUUCAGGGUGCUCCCUUCUCUCCUCUACCCUGGUGACAUGCAGUGGUCCACACGAGCCCUGCACCACCUGCAGACCACCUGUUUUUUUUUUUUUGUGGGAGUCACAGGAAAGAAUGGGAACUGAGGUGGGCAGAGGGCUUUCAUUUUCCAGCUAUGCCUUGAAUGGCCACUAUAGUACCCUUGUGUGACAGGGCAGGGAUUAGAGAGAGGCACAGGCUUCUAGCAGCCAGGAUAGUACUAAGCUCAGAAGUCCAGAUCCCCCUUCUGUCCGAUACCCGCCUCUGUUGUCCCCUAGCUGCUCAGUUUACUCUGAGUUUUCCUGGGCCAAACAAGAACCCACAAUGCUCUAGGUGACAGAGGAGGAGAAGGCUGAUGGAUCCUGAGGCAAGGCAGGGCUUGGGCAUGGUCAUCUCCUGGGGCGCAGGGUGUAUGUGGGUAUGGGGGAGAUGGGGUCUUCUGUCUUCCAGAGUCAUCCAGUGAUGUCUGUGUUGGGGAGGAGCUAGGAGCUAGGCCUUCCGUGAUGUCAAUGAUGUAAUGGUGUCAGUCCCUCACAUAGAUAUGAACCUGACCUUUAAGGUGAUGAUGCCAGGUGUCCAGGGGUGAACGACAGAGAGACGGUACCACCCUCUGAGAUCUUCAAGUACAAAAGCACAUCACCAUAGCUCAGCAAGCGGACAGCUUUGCGCAUCUACAGACCCUGAUCUGUCUUGGAGCCCUGGGGAUCCCUUGGAUUCUGACCUCCUGGAACUGGGGAGCAACCUGUCUCCCUGAAGACCCUUUCCUUCCCAGUACCUGAGACGGAGUUCCCAAAGAAGAGCCAUUCCUGGAAGAUAUACUACUUAGGAUUCACCUUGCCUUUGAUGGACAGCUCCAGGGGUCACGGGGAGGCUGUAGUUUAGAACCUGAGGCCUCUCCUCAUCCCAUGUGGACUGGAAUCCUCCAGUCUCUCGAGAUGGGGUGGAGCUAGGCCCCCUCCGGGCCACAGGGUGGUGUCUCAAAGGACCUGUGGGUAGGGCAGGGACUCCAUGGGCACGGAGUAAGAGCUGCCCAAUGUCUGUCUUUUGUCUGUUUUUUUUUUCUCUUUCCUUUACCCCCUUUUCCUUUUGUUUUCUUUUGUUUUCUUUUGUUUUCUUUUGUUUUCUUUCUUUCUUUCUUUCUUUCUUUCUUUCUCUCUCUCUCUCUCUCUCUCUCUCUCUCUCUCUCUUUCUUUCUUUCUUUCUUUCUUUCUUUCUUUCUUUCUUUCUUUGCUGCUUGAGUGAUGCGUCUGUUUGGGUGCUUCCUGGAUGAUGCUUAGCUCCCUGCUGGCUGUGGGGAGAGGACAGCUAGCCAGUCCUGGCCUGGGAGGAACCUGGCUAGCCCCUGUGCUAUUCAGCACAGGAAGGGAGCUUGGGAAGAGAUGGGGGUGCUCUAAGAUAAGGAGACCCAGUAGGGAGGUUCACGGCAGAAGCCCAACCCCCAGCUUCCUCCGGUCACUGGAGAAUGGGGGGCUCUCUAAGAUAGGGAGACCCAGUAGGAAGGCUCAUAGCUUCUUCCGGUCACUGGAGAAUGGGCUGCUCCCAGUCUGUGGUUACAAAGGCUUUAUGCAAUCCAUAUUGCAUAGCUGUGGAAGGACAGAGGCUGGCCCUUAUUCUCCUCAGGGCGCAGUGCCGGGGAUAACUGUCCAUUCUCCACCUCUUGCCACAGACCCUCUACAACUAGCAACAGAGCACUGUAUAGUCUUCCUUGGGACGGUCUAGAAACAGGCAGUCGUUGACUGGGGUGGGAGCGAGGCAGUUGCGUAUUUAUUCUUCAUCCCCGGCUGUGGUGCUCAGCUCCAGAAACUCACACUGCAGGGCUUGAAGCUGGCAAAGGAAGACCAAAGUGUCAGCAGUAGCUUCUGUCUUCAUGGGGCCUUCCUCUGUGUCCAGAGUGAGCGAGGGAGGCUCUGGAGAUUUGUCCAUAAGGGUGACGGUCUUGCCAUUUCAGGACCAGGGCUUACGACCUCAUCUGAGCAUAUCCUUGAUGACCUUGUCUCUCUGUGCCUUCACAGAGGGGCUGGAGAAUCAGCCUGUGCCUCUUGGGAGGGUGACUCUGACAGGGUGGCCUCACCAACCUGAGCAGUCAAUCUCUCCUUCAGAGUUCCUCACGUAGGGAGGAGCAGAUGAAUGUGAGAUGGGGACAGGUGUCUUGGGGACGUACCUGGAGGCUGCAGCCCUUGUCUCUACCAGCUUUGAUGUCUACAUUGUCACAUGGGUCAUAUGCUUUCCCGGUGGCGCAGGCAGCUCUCAGAAGGCCCUGUGCCUGGCUCAGUGCUGGGCUCUCAGGAGAUGUGCCACACAGUUCUGUUCAGUGGGAGUUUAGGGAGUUUAGGUGAGGGUUCAUCUGGGUUAGGUACUGGCUGGGCCUCUCGGAUCUGCCUUGCUGACCAGUCUGGGGCAGUAGCCACCUAUGGUCUCUGCGGUAGCUUGCUGUUUUCCAGGAGGAGAGGGACCUUGUUUCCUGCUAAAACAUGGAUCCCACCAUGGUUCUUUUUGUUGGUCAGCCAUCUUGGGAAAUACAGGUGCUGUCCAGCUGCACCUCAGAUGGUUACAGUUUCAUAGUCAGCGGAGAGAAGCUGUGUCCAGGAAGAAUUAGACAAUAGGCAGUCAAAAGAGGCCAGAGUAGGAGUGAGAGAGAGAGAGGCCCCAGCUCUGGAACUGGGGAGAGGCUUCCUAGUCAGGCUGACCCAGCGAGGACUUUGGGGGAUGAGAAAGGUGUGGCUUGGCUGCAUGCUUUUGGGAAGAAAUUAAGGCAAAGUUCAUCAGGUCAAAUACAGGGCAGUGCUUUGCAGAGCCUCGAAGUGCUGAGGAGCGUCUCAGACACUCAGGGUGGGACAGAAGGAGGAAACAUUUCCUGUCUUGGCUGGCUGCAGAAUUAUUUUUCUUCUCAAACAUCUAGAAUGCUGGGAGACAGAGGUUGGGCUUUAGAAGUGCCAAGAGUGAUAGGGAGAACGUUUAAGGCGUGCUCAGGCGUCCUAUUGUCGCCCGGGAGGAAAGAGAAGCUGGAGGGGUGGUGUGUGUGUGAGGGAGUCCAAGCUUUGCCUUAGGACUCAGGCCAGGUCCUUGCAGUUCUUCCUUUGCAGAGGAGGGCACAUGGUGGGAGCAGCCAGAGGCGUGGGAGUCGGUGGUGGAAGAGAUGUUCAUUUCCAAGGGCAGCAGCUCGGGGGGGGGGGGGUGGCUGGGUGAGCUGUUUUGUGGAAAGAUGCUGUGGUGUGUGUGUGUGUGUGUGUGUGUGUCUAUGUGUGUGUGAAGAUCCUUCUGGGAAGAGGCUGGUCACAACCAGGCAGGGGGUUUGCACUGAGGACAAGUUGGGUACAUUUUUAGAAGAUCUGUAAUAUUUGUGGAUCUCAGAGACCCACAGCCUAGAAAUGGAAGCUCUGGGUUUCCAGCGUGGCUCAUUGAGGUCAGGCUUGAUUCCUGCCAUGGGUGCUGACAGGUAUAGAGGCAGACCCCCUGCCAUGGUCAGACUCCAUGCCCAGGCUGGUGGGGACAGGAGGCCUGUGGUGGGUUGAGUGCGGGAGUGGGGGGU